UGUUUUUCAGUUGUGUUUAUUAGCUCACAUAGUAAUUAAUAGCCCAAAUUGCAUCAUAGGCAGUGGAGAGAUAGGGAGUGAAUGAGCAGUGCUGCUGGAUAUCCUGAACAGCAGAGAUGUCAAACACUGUUUUGCUUCCUGAAGUCUUGCUCUGUAAUGGGAGGCAGCGUCUGGAAGGAAAUGGUAAUUGACAGUUUUGCUUCCCAAGAGGAUUUGCUCCAUUGGCUUAACUGCGCUGCAGUCUGUGGUGGACAAGUAGACUCCAUCCAUGCUUACCUAAAUCCUUAAAAAGACAGUAACACAGAAAGAAAAG
Molecule: long non-coding RNA, 313 nt
Filed under: Pelobates cultripes (western spadefoot toad)
Lineage: Eukaryota; Metazoa; Chordata; Amphibia; Anura; Pelobatidae
Source: RNAcentral